RNAcentral lists this ribosomal RNA (746 nucleotides) under uncultured bacterium. Its description in RNAcentral is "bacterial SSU rRNA". It matches the Rfam family "Bacterial small subunit ribosomal RNA", at positions 8 to 796 of the family's 1533-position model. The record is from RNAcentral.
AGAGUUUGAUCCUGGCUCAGAACGAACGCUGGCGGCGUGCUUAACACAUGCAAGUCGAGUGCGCGUUCCGUAGCAAUACGGAAUGGCGCACGGGCAGGGUGCGUAACACGUGACCUGCCCUUUGGUGGGGAAUAACUCCGCGAAAGCGAGCUAUUCCGCAUAAGAUCCGCAAGGAUGAAAGCCGAAAGGGCCUGGAGGGCCCGCGCCCGAUUAGCUAGUUGGAGGGUAAUGGCCUACCAAGUUGAUCGGUAGCUGGUCUGAGAGGAUGAUCAGCCACACUGGAACUGAGACACGGUCCAGACUCCUACGGGAGGCAGCAGUGGGGAAUCUUGCACAAUGGGCGAAAGCCUGAUGCAGGACGCCGCGUGGGGGAGAAGCAUUUCGGUGUGUAACCCCUUUCGAUCCGGCGAAACCCCGCAAGGGAUUGACGGUACGGAUAUAAGAAGCCCCGGCUACUCGUGCCAGCAGCCGCGGUAAGACGUAGGGGCCAGCGUUGUUGGAAUUACUGGGUGUAAAGGGUUGUAGGCGGUGCGGCAAGUUGGGAGUGAAAUCUCUGGGCUUAACCCAGAGGCUGCUUCCAAAACUGCUGUGCUUGAGUGUGGGAGAGGCGCGUGGAAUUGCAGGUGUAGCGGUGAAAUGCGUAGAUAUCUGCAGGAACACCCGUGGCGAAGCGGCGCGCUGGACCACUACUGACGCUGAGGAACGAAAGCUAGGGGAGCAAACAGGAUUAGAUACCCUAGUAGUCC